This 663-nucleotide long non-coding RNA is filed under the name Arabidopsis lyrata. Its description in RNAcentral is "long non-coding RNA (ALYR_LNC001217)". The record is from RNAcentral. Lineage: Eukaryota; Viridiplantae; Streptophyta; Magnoliopsida; Brassicales; Brassicaceae.
UACACCCUUCUGCAGCGAAUCUGUGAGCUAAGAUCUCGUUGAUGGUGUCAAAUACGAGCUUCCUCUUGCUUCUCUCUAUCAGGUUCACCGUUUGUUGUUGUCCAAAUCCUCUGCCUUUGUGCUUGUUGUCCUGUGGACUCACAUUGCUUGUCUUGUUCUGUUCCAGUACAAAGAAAAGGCUCGGGUUGAUCGGUAGGUGUGCUUGGUGCAGCUGAAUGCUUAUCAUGCUGUAGUCGAUAUCUCGUAGAAGCCCUGAUGCCAACAGUAUCUCUGAGAUGUACUUGUGGUCACCAUUUUUAAAUUCAGCAUCUUCUUCUAUGAAAUCCUCCAUAAGUUCGGCAUCAGGCUGCUUGAGAGUUGUGUUACUCUCAGGCCACACAAUCGAUCUACAUAAGUUGCUGUGCUUGUUCAUCCACUGGGACUCUUCAGAACUUAGAUUAUCGUCCUCUGUGGCAAGAGAGAUGGUAAAGGUGAGAAACUUUAGACAAAUCAAAACUUGCAAUCUGGUUUGAAUAUUGUGGAUAAAUGUAACGAGUUUAAUAUUAAUGAACUUAUAGUUUAACAUUUCUUUUCUAGGCUCAAAGAAAAAUUUGAUGCCAGUCGGAAAUUUUUUGAACCUUCCCAUUGACUCACCUUUAAAGACAACGGAUAUCUUCCGCACAG